UACGUAGGGUGCGAGCGUUGUCCGGAAUUAUUGGGCGUAAAGGGCUCGUAGGCGGUCUGUCGCGUCGGGCGUGAAAACUCAGGGCUUAACCCUGAGCCUGCUUCCGAUACGGGCAGACUAGAGGUAUGCAGGGGAGAACGGAAUUCCUGGUGUAGCGGUGAAAUGCGCAGAUAUCAGGAGGAACACCGGUGGCGAAGGCGGGUCUCUGGGCCGAUACUGACGCUGAGGAGCGAAAGCGUGGGGAGCGAACAGG
This 253-nucleotide ribosomal RNA is filed under the name uncultured bacterium. RNAcentral's name for it is "partial 16S ribosomal RNA". It matches the Rfam family "Bacterial small subunit ribosomal RNA", at positions 524 to 776 of the family's 1533-position model. The record is from RNAcentral.